GGGGCAGUGGCCAAAUUGGAUUAAGGCUCCGGUCUCCAAAACCGGCGAUUCUAGGUUCGAGUCCUAGCUGCCCCG
RNAcentral lists this transfer RNA (75 nucleotides) under Solirubrobacterales bacterium. RNAcentral's name for it is "tRNA-Trp". It matches the Rfam family "tRNA". Rfam says of the family: Transfer RNA (tRNA) molecules are approximately 80 nucleotides in length. Lineage: Bacteria; Bacillati; Actinomycetota; Thermoleophilia; Solirubrobacterales. The record is from RNAcentral.